UAGUGUUUAAUACAUUAGUAAUUGGUGCUUGGAAUGAUACAGAGAUGAUUAGCACAGCCCUUCGCAAGGAUGCCAUGCAAACUUGUGAAGCUUUCCAUAUUUUU
RNAcentral lists this small nuclear RNA (104 nucleotides) under Aotus nancymaae (Ma's night monkey). The record is from RNAcentral. Lineage: Eukaryota; Metazoa; Chordata; Mammalia; Primates; Aotidae.